UACGUAGGGGGCUAGCGUUGUCCGGAAUCAUUGGGCGUAAAGCGCGCGUAGGCGGGCCGUUAAGUGAGAGGUGAAAUUCCAGGGCUCAACCCCGGAACUGCCUCUCAUACUGGUGGUCUUGAGUGAGGUAGAGAGAAGUGGAAUGGCUGGUGUAGCGGUGAAAUGCGUAGAUAUCAGUCGGAACACCGGUGGCGAAGGCGGCUUCUUGGGCCUUUACUGACGCUGAGGCGCGAAAGCCAGGGGAGCGAACGGG
Molecule: ribosomal RNA, 253 nt
Filed under: uncultured bacterium
Lineage: Bacteria
Description: partial 16S ribosomal RNA
Rfam family: Bacterial small subunit ribosomal RNA
Source: RNAcentral